ACGAACGCUGGCGGCGUGCUUAACACAUGCAAGUCGCACGGAAAGGCCCUGCUUUUGUGGGGUGCUCGAGUGGCGAACGGGUGAGUAACACGUGAGUAACCUGCCCUUGACUUUGGGAUAACUUCAGGAAACUGGGGCUAAUACCGGAUAGGAGCUCCUGCUGCAUGGUGGGGGUUGGAAAGUUUCGGCGGUUGGGGAUGGACUCGCGGCUUAUCAGCUUGUUGGUGGGGUAGUGGCUUACCAAGGCUUUGACGGGUAGCCGGCCUGAGAGGGUGACCGGGCAGGUGGGGAGGGAGAUGGGGCAGAGCGUCCUCCGGGAGGCAGCAGUGGGGAGUGUAGGAGGAUGGCCGGAAGCCUGAUGCCGUAUCGCCGGGGGGGGGAUGAGGGCGUGCGGGUAGUAGACCAAGAUCGCCCGUAACGAAGCGUGCGUGACGGGAAGGGGUAAAGAAGCAACGGCUAACGACGCG
Molecule: ribosomal RNA, 467 nt
Filed under: uncultured bacterium
Lineage: Bacteria
Description: partial 16S ribosomal RNA
Rfam family: Bacterial small subunit ribosomal RNA
Source: RNAcentral